Molecule: long non-coding RNA, 1971 nt
Organism: Apis cerana (Asiatic honeybee)
Lineage: Eukaryota; Metazoa; Arthropoda; Insecta; Hymenoptera; Apidae
Source: RefSeq, a predicted model, not a curated record
UAUUAUUAUUUAAAUAUUGAAAAUAUUACUCUUGAUAUAAGAAUUCAAAUUCUUCUCAUUCAAACUCCCCGAUAUUAACUUUCAAUUUAAUUUAACUCAAUUUUGAUUCAUUAAUAUAAAUUAUUUAACAUUAUUUACAAAUACGAAUAAAUUAUCAGAAAAAUAUUGUGUUUACAAGCACGAACAGCUGUAACUGUAAAUCAAGUUACUUGAACGAAGCAGGUUAUAUUAAGCUUUCUUUCAUACGAAAUUCGCUAUAUCUGACUGUAUAUGUUACAUAUGUAUACUGACGACAGUUUUUCGUGAAUUAUUCGAAAACAGAAAAAAUAUCUUAUUCGCAUUAAAACUUGUGAACAGCUCUAGCCAAUUCUAAAAAGAUUAAAUUGAAAUCAUUACGUAUAUAUAUAUUUCGAUAUUUGAUGUAAGAUGUAUUCCAGUAUCGAGUAUACUUUAUUUAUUUAAUUUACAGAUAUUCGAAAUUUCGAUAGAUUCGUAUGUAAUGUAAUAAGCGAAGGAAAUAAUCAUCAGCUUUCCAUAAAAUUUUCAAUUUCUUUUCCAAUUUAUUACCUGAAAAUAAAAUAACAAAUAAAACUAAUCCGAGAAUCUUAAUAAAUAUUUUGCACGAGGCUUAGAUAAGAAUUGAAAAAAAUAGUAACGUAACAAACGUUUAAUAAUAAACAAGAAAUCUUUUAGGCGAAGAAUAAUAGCAGUUGUUAUUUUUAGAUUCAUCGUCUAUCGAAAAACUGGUAUUUUAAUAAUAUACGUUAAAAUUAAGUUCAAUGUUUCAAUAAAAUUAUUCUACGUUAAAUUCUAAUUCCAUAUUUUUUAUUCUAUAAUUAUGCGUAUUUAAAUUGAUCCGAUUCAAACGAAUCGUUUAUUUUCAUUAUAAAAUAUGCCAAUACUACCAAACAUCGGAUACGAUAUUCAAAUAUAUCGAAAUAACGCACCGCCAUUGCUUUGCUGUUCUCAGACGAGUUCAUUAUAACCUGCUCGUAGUUUGUUGAAAUGUCCACACUGCUGGCGAUCAUGUUUCGCGAGUUGUUCGUGAACAGCGUUCGUGUGGACGCGGCAUAAGGUAUUCAUCCGAUGCAGUAUCUAAUUUCGCAGCGCUGUCCUUGUUUAACCUAUUGUCAAUGAGCGAUUCGUGAUGUCGUAUAAGACUAUUUAUUUUUUAUGGUUUAUCAGCAACUUCAGUUCGAUUAAAAUUGUCGAAGAUUCGAAAUACAAACAGAUCGAUCGAAGAAACAGGAAUUGAAAUUGCGAUUCUAAAUUUCACAAGAAUUUCGCUCUCUGCUUUCGUAUAUGUAUACAAUCGAUAUCCACGAAUCAUAUUCACGAAUCGUCAUGCGAAACAAGGUUAAGUCGUACACUUUGAAAACUAAUAUAAGACAUACGAAAAGUGGCACAGCAGUAAAAAGAGGUCACAUACUUAUACGCAUCUAAAUGAUAAAUGCAUUUGUAUUUAUCGGUCUACCAACGUGUCAAACAAUAUAAUUCAAAGCAAAAUGAUUUAAUCGUAAUUAAAAUCAAUUGGUUGGUCCGUUGAUGAGUUGCUUAAAUAGAAUGUUAUCGAAAAAAUUAAUAACAGGGAUAACGAUAUGUCUAAAUAGAAAACUAUAUAUAUAUAUAUAGCAGUAUAAUGAAAAUUCAUGUUUCUUAUAAUCUGCUAUUUAAAAUGAUAAAUUAUGUUAAUAACAAUCGUUAAAUCUUUCAAGCAUUAUUUAUGAUAUUAUCAGAGAAAUUAUGCUAAAAAAAAAAAGAUGUACACCGAAUAUAUUAUCCGCUUUCAGUGAUUGCAUUUGAAUAACCUUAAUUAAUAUUGCAUUAACGAAUAAAAAGUAAUAAGAAUAUCUGGACACGUUGAAACAUAUGCCGUUUAAUUUAAAUAUUUAAUAAAUAUCAACACGUAUAUUAACAUGUAUAAUAUAAUAUAAGAUAAUAUAAGAUAACAAAUAAAAAUAUUUAAUUGUA